Capsicum annuum is the source of this 1066-nucleotide long non-coding RNA. RefSeq lists it as uncharacterized. The record is from RefSeq and is a predicted model, not a curated record. Lineage: Eukaryota; Viridiplantae; Streptophyta; Magnoliopsida; Solanales; Solanaceae. The transcript has 4 exons.
UGACUUAUGAUAAAAAUAACAAUCAGUCCCGCUUAGCAAAAAGAAAUGUUGAGAUGAAGCUUCGGCGACGUGAAAUACAUAAACAAUUUUCUGCCGAAAAAGAAGAGGCACUUUUGGUACAUCGACGAACAAAUAAACAACAGUUGGAAAAAAAAAAUACUAUUACUAAUGUAGAAGGUUUUCCUGUACAAGCUCAACAUACAGGUCGCUUGGCGUGAAACUGCUCCGUGUCUGACAAUUCUCUUUUAGUGGAGUUCUCUGCUAUUUCCCCAACGACGGUUGUUCGCCCUCAACUACAACGCACUAUAUCAUACCAUAACUCAGAAAAAGGAAAAGAUAUAUGCAGCCCGUUUGUAAUUCAUGAAACAGGUUCAACAUCUGUUGCAUCUACAUCUGUAUCUGAAAAUCUUGUUUCAAUAGACUUUGCUGCUAUUUUGGCAACAACAGGUUUCACCACUAAUACUUUCCUUUUACCUUAUCUUUAUUAAAAUAGUUGGAGAAUUUGAACAGCUGAUUAUAAGUAACUGACUAUACAUAUGCAUUACGUAAAUGUCUUCACCAAUGAAUCUCAUCUUACUAUUUUAUCAAUUAUCUGUGACAAGCAAAAGAACAUGACUCAUCCAUUCUCUAUGUAUGAAAUAGCUCAGCACCAUGACGAACAUAAUGUUUCUACUCCCUUAUACUAUAGCAAUUACGCAAAACUAUACUACUGUCUCUUGAUGUUAGGCCCGACACUUGCUGCAUCUACCUUCCAAUGUGAUAUGGCAUCAAAGAUUAUUAAAGCUCACAGACAACAAAAUAGAUGUCAUGUAAACAUGCGAUAAGUGUUAUCUGAAUACGUGCGUUUAGAGACGUUUCCUCAUUGUAAAUUUUGCGCUGCAAAGAGAUUUGAAUAUGAGCCUCCUGGAUUUUGUUGUAACAACGGCUCCAUCAAAUUAGUUUCUAACCAGGUAAUAGCUAAACUACGCAAUUUAUUUUUUGAAAAUACUGAAGAAUUGGUGCAUUUUCGAACAUACAUUAGAACAUAUAAUAAUAUGUUUGCAUUUACAUCACUUGGCAUAAAUUA